AGAGUUUGAUCAUGGCUCAGGAUGAACGCUAGCUACAGGCUUAACACAUGCAAGUCGAGGGGCAGCAUGUUGGUUGCUUGCAACCAAUGAUGGCGACCGGCGCACGGGUGAGUAACGCGUAUCCAACCUACCCUUGUCCAUCGGAUAACCCGUCGAAAGGCGGCCUAACACGAUAUGCGGUUCACAGCAGGCAUCUAAGGUGACGAAAUGUGAAGAGAAGGAUGGGGAUGCGUCUGAUUAGCUUGUUGGCGGGGUAACGGCCACAAGGCUACGAUCAGUAGGGGUUCUGAGAGGAAGGUCCCCCCANAUUGGAACUGAGACACGGGUCCAAACUCCUACGGGAGGCA
RNAcentral lists this ribosomal RNA (347 nucleotides) under uncultured bacterium. Its description in RNAcentral is "bacterial SSU rRNA". It matches the Rfam family "Bacterial small subunit ribosomal RNA", at positions 8 to 350 of the family's 1533-position model. The record is from RNAcentral.